UAAUACAUGCUAAAAACCCCAACUUCGGGAGGGGUGUAUUUAUUAGAUAAAAAACCAAUGCCCUUCGGGGCUCUUUGGUGAUUCAUGAUAACUUAACGGAUCGCAUGGCCUUGCGCCGGCGACGGUUCAUUCAAAUUUCUGCCCUAUCAACUUUCGAUGGUAAGGUAUUGGCUUACCAUGGUUUCAACGGGUAACGGGGAAUUAGGGUUCGAUUCCGGAGAGGGAGCCUGAGAAACGGCUACCACAUCCAAGGAAGGCAGCAGGCGCGCAAAUUACCCAAUCCCGACACGGGGAGGUAGUGACAAUAAAUACUGAUACAGGGCUCUUUUGGGUCUUGUAAUCGGAAUGAGUACAAUUUAAACCCCUUAACGAGGAACAAUUGGAGGGCAAGUCUGGUGCCAGCAGCCGCGGUAAUUCCAGCUCCAAUAGCGUAUAUUAAAGUUGUUGCAGUUAAAAAGCUCGUAGUUGAACCUUGGGCCUGGCUGGCCGGUCCGCCUCACCGCGUGUACUGGUCCGGCCGGGCCUUUCCUUCUGGAGAGCCCCAUGCCCUUCACUGGGUGUGCGGGGGAACCAGGACUUUUACUUUGAAAAAAUUAGAGUGUUCAAAGCAGGCCUUUGCUCGAAUACGUUAGCAUGGAAUAAUAGAAUAGGACGUGCGGUCCUAUUUUGUUGGUUUCUAGGACCGCCGUAAUGAUUAAUAGGGACAGUCGGGGGCAUCAGUAUUCAAUUGUCAGAGGUGAAAUUCUUGGAUUUAUUGAAGACUAACUACUGCGAAAGCAUUUGCCAAGGAUGUUUUCAUUAAUCAGUGAACGAAAGUUAGGGGAUCGAAGACGAUCAGAUACCGUCGUAGUCUUAACCGUAAACUAUGCCGACUAGGGAUCGGGCGAUGUUUCUAUCUUGACUCGCUCGGCACCUCACGAGAAAUCAAAG
This 930-nucleotide ribosomal RNA is filed under the name Sublophiostoma thailandicum. RNAcentral's name for it is "SSU rRNA". It matches the Rfam family "Eukaryotic small subunit ribosomal RNA", at positions 165 to 1103 of the family's 1831-position model. The record is from RNAcentral. Lineage: Eukaryota; Fungi; Ascomycota; Dothideomycetes; Pleosporales.